AUUGAACGCUGGCGGCAUGCUUUACACAUGCAAGUCGAACGGUAACAGGCCUUCGGGUGCUGACGAGUGGCGAACGGGUGAGUAAUGCAUCGGAACGUACCCAGAGGUGGGGGAUAACGCAGCGAAAGCUGUGCUAAUACCGCAUGUGAUCUGAGGAUGAAAGCGGGGGACCGAGCAGCAAUGUUUGGCCUCGCGCCUUUGGAGCGGCCGAUGUCGGAUUAGCUAGUUGGUGGGGUAAAGGCCUACCAAGGCGACGAUCCGUAGCUGGUCUGAGAGGACGACCAGCCACACUGGGACUGAGACACGGCCCAGACUCCUACGGGAGGCAGCAGUGGGGAAUUGUGGACAAUGGGCGCAAGCCUGAUCCAGCAAUGCCGCGUGCGGGAAGAAGGCCUUCGGGUUGUAAACCGCUUUUGGCAGGAACGAAACGGUGUCCGCUAAUACCGGGCGCUAAUGACGGUACCUGCAGAAUAAGCACCGGCUAACUACGUG
Molecule: ribosomal RNA, 492 nt
Filed under: uncultured bacterium
Lineage: Bacteria
Description: partial 16S ribosomal RNA
Rfam family: Bacterial small subunit ribosomal RNA
Source: RNAcentral